GGGGUAUUAGCUCAGUUGGUUUAGAGCACUUGCUUGACAGGCAAGGGGUCACUGGUUCAAAUCCAGUAUGUCCCACAA
Molecule: transfer RNA, 78 nt
Filed under: hydrothermal vent metagenome
Description: tRNA-Val-GAC
Rfam family: tRNA
About the family: Transfer RNA (tRNA) molecules are approximately 80 nucleotides in length. Their secondary structure includes four short double-helical elements and three loops (D, anti-codon, and T loops).
Source: RNAcentral